CCGGGGCGGCGCUCCCGGACCGGCCCCGCCGCUCCCGCCCCGCCCCGGGCCCGCUCCGGAGCUCAGACCUCCGGCAGCCGUGGGAGGCUCCCCGCAAACCGCCGGGGAGACCCCCGGAACCAGGCGUGGGUCACGCUGGGGAUGCCGAUCGCAGCAUCGAGCCCCUGCUCGAUGCAUCACAGCCCUGCUCUCAAAGGUCCCGGAAUGGUUUGGGUUGGAAAGGACCUCAAAGCCCAUCCCGCUCCAGCCUGCCAUGGGCACGGACACCUUCCACUAUCCCAGGCUGCUCCACACCUCAUCCAACCUGGCCUUGGAUGGGACAGCCACAGCUUCUCUGGGUAACCUGAGCUACGGCCUCACCAUCCUCCCAUGGAAAAAAUCUAUUCCCAACACCUAAUGAAAGUUUUAAUUUUGCAGUUUAAAACCCAUCUUGCAAUGGAGCUGCUUUGUAAAACUCUUGUAGCAAUGAGCAGAGCUUUUACUCAAUGAGUUCCAAGCUUUGUUUUGCCCCAUUUUGAGGAACUCCAGUUGCUCAGGCUCAUCGCUGACACUGACAACAGAGCAGAGCCAAGCCUGCACUCACUGGGAGCCUGGAAAUCACUUUUUGUCAGUCUGCUGCUCUCUAUAAACACUCCCAGUUAACCACUUGUGUGCUGGGAAGAGCUGGUUCAGGCACGGCCCUCCCCAUGGCUCAUGGCCACAUGCCUUGGCCUCAUAGCCAGACAUUCCCAUGGUUUCCAGACUGACCCACGGGGAGCAGAGUUGGGCUCUGGCAAACCUCAGUGCGACUACGCCGUGUCCAGUGUCGCCUCUCCUUGGCUGCCAUCCCAGCAGCAAUGAGGAUGUGUUUUUCCAGGCUCUUCUCACACCCAGCUGUAAUAAUAAACACCACCAAGGACUCAAAUCCUGUUAGAAAUGAUACUCAGAGUGGGGUUUUUUUUGUGAUCUAAGCAAAAAACUACGUCACUAUGCUGCUGGACCAGCCACUGCAGUUUUUCCUGUCCCUUAAGCCCUGUGAGACCUUGUGGAGGCAAAAGCCAUCGUGAACCAAAUGAAACUUGUCACAUCACCGGGCGUGACUCAGCUCCACAGCCCUGCCUUGGGGCCACUGGUGUUCAGGAUGCUUGGGAAACUCCCGCUGCUUCCCUGCAUCUCUCCCUGCCAGCACAACCCCACACGGAGCUGAUGGUAUUUUCCACUGACUCACCUGCCCCUGAUAUCUCCCCUCUCUAAUCAAAGGGCAGUUUCCAGGAGCUGUGCUAUAAAAAGAAACAAUUAUUAAACAUAACUGCAUUUUUUUGUCCCCUUGGAUGGAUCGUUUUGCAUUUUUCAGCUUGGCCACCAGCUCAAGCAAAUUCACCCCACUUCAGGUGGAUUUUCCCCUCUCCUUCUGCACCUUCCUGAGUCAAACACAAACCUGACAUCCCAAGCAGCUCUGGCAGUCAGGAGACACAACAGGGAAUUGUUUUCUCUGUAAGAAAGCGGGGGGAACACAGACUUCACACAGCCACUGUCACCAAUCCGGCGCAGGGAGAGCUCCGUGCCCGAGCCAGGUCACCCCCCUGCAGAGGCCCCGGAGCACAGAGGGGACAUUCAUAACGUGGUUCCUCGGGUUGCCACUCCACAAAGCUGAAUAUUGGCCAGGAAUGAGCUUUUCAGCGGCAGUGGAGCAGGAUCAAGGAAGGGGGGCUUUUCUUCACCCCUUGGAUGGCUGCUAAAGCACCUGCCUCUCCCUGACACACAUUCUCUGUGGGAUAAUGUAUUCACAUCCAUCCCUUGGGCUCAUUUCCCUUUCCAGCUCUGCAGCCAUCCCAGUGUGGGGAUUUAUCUCUGGCAAAUCAAAUCUUUCCCCUGCAAACACUCCCUGCCCAGUCCCAGGCUGGGACUUCUCCAGGGUGAUUAUCCAGCCAGGUAUGCAGGGCACAGAGCACAGGAAUACCAAGGAGGAAACUGGAGCUCCACCAGAGCCACCAGCAGGUAACAAAAAGGGCCUUUCAGAGGAGCAUCUGAUGCCCUGCUACGUGCAGAGGUGCCAGGGGCUCACAUUAUCCUGCCUUAGAAAUUGCUCACUGGCACUUUUCCCUGCUUUUUCCUGCUCAAAGGUGCUCAGCAUGUCCAGUGGAAGGCUGGACAUGUUCCUGGAUUCCUCCAAAACUUCCCAACAGUGAGGCAAAAUCACUGCUCCAACUGGAUAGCCACAGCUGGAUGGCUUGUUCUGAAAGAGAUAAAGCCCAUCCCUGGGAGCCAGCUCUUCCCAUUUCAGAUGAUGGUGGCUCUUACCUGCUCUGCAGCUGCUCCCAAACCCAGGAGGCUGUUUCUGUCACAUAAAAAAAAGAAGAAAAGGUGUAUCUCUUUAUCUGUACCCUAUUAUGGGCUUGAAACUCAUUGCAGGUUGCCUUUGCUCCAGCCUGAAAGCAGCCAUUGACCCCAAAAUGGCAUCAAAAUCCCCACUGGAAGUGCUGGCACAGCCUUACAGGUGACCAGUGUCAUCUGAAUGAUAGUAACAAUAAUAACUUAUCAACCUCUACAUUGAUAACAAUAAUUUACCCAGUCAGAGCACAACACUUUCUGAUUUCUCCAUUUUCUGCUGUUCCUUCUCCUUACAUUUUCCAUAUCCAAGCAGGACAUCUCCUGGCUCUCCUUACUUACCUUAAACCCUGGAAAUCCUCAUUUCACAUGGAUGCAGACAGUCCCAGCCCCCUGCCAGCAUUACUGCAUCCAGGAGCAGGCAUUUGGCUGGGAGCUGGUCCUGGGAAAAGCUGGCUCAGCCUUCUCCUGAACCCUCCCAUCACCCUGGAGCCCCCAAAUUCACGUGGCACUCAGGGUGUCCUGCACCCUGUUGUCACAACAGAGAUGCCAACACCCAUCCAGGCUCUCCAAUUAAACCACAUGGAGUUCAUCCAUACUUUAAAAUAAGCUUUAUUUAGAUCUUUUAUAAUUUUAUAUUUGCAUCCAUGCCUUCAAGGAUUCUCCCCCGCUCACAGGGGGAAAAGUUAAAUCUAAUGUUACCCAUAAUUCAUAUGCUAUUUAGCAAAGUUCUCUUUUAAAUAAAUCAUCCUCUUAGUAAUUUUUAGAAUUACUUCCUAAUUUACAAAAAAGCUGAAAUGCAAAGGAAACUACUCGAUAACAAGGAAAUCGCUCAUCUGUUCUGGUAGUUUAGAGUUUAAAUUAUAAAAAACGCAAGGAGAACAAAGAAAAAAAAAACCAAAACAGAAUCGAAAAAAACAACAAAAUAUAAAAAAAUGCUUCUCUGCAGAGAAAAGAUGCCAUGGGGCAAAGCCUGCCCUGCCACCCCAGGAGAGCCUGGGGGGCUGGUCCCUCUGUCACCCCCUCCAUGGCCUCUCUGCAUCAUCCCUUGGAAUGGAAUACACAGCGCGAGGGCAUCGCUUCAGUUCGGUGAUUUAAGACAAAAUACCCUUUUUUUCUUUUGUUUCAACCAGGGCGCAUGUAUCAGAAUUAAGAAAAAUAAUACACUAUUAUAGUUCAUUAAAUAAAUCUUAAUACAUUUUUUUUAAGAGCUUAAAAUUAUACUGUAAGCGUUAAAGCAUAAGGUACUUAUCUUGGCAUAAGCAGAGCGCGGCACGUGUUAGUGGAGAGGGGAAGCGGCUGCCGCACCGGGGGGGUGGUUUGGGGGCAUUUCCAAGGAAUUUGGAAAAACAAGCUCCACCUGUGCUUCCAAAUCACCCCAGAGGCAGAAAAACCUCCCUAGUGGGGACUCGUACCGAUUUCCCCAGCCCCCUCCGAGGGCAGGAACACCCCAAACUGAGCGGGGUGGCCGGCCCUAUCAGGGCAGCAUCCUGGGAUAUGGGAUAUCUCGGGAUAUCACCUUGCUCCCAGCUCGUGCCAGAUCCCCCUACAUUUUACUUGAAGCAAAGGGCGAGCACCCCCCAAAAGCAGGGAAAAAACAGAGGGCAAAGCUCCCACCAGCUUGCCCCCAUCCGAUUUCCCGGCAUGUGUUUAGGUUUGCGUUUUCCAAGGCGUUAAGUGCUCCUGGGGCAGCUGAGGGAGCCCGGGCUGGGGGGUCCACAGCCCCAAUCUCCCCCAACAGCAACAUCCCAGGACAGUACAGUACAAA
Non-coding RNA from Taeniopygia guttata (zebra finch), 4075 nucleotides. The record is from RefSeq and is a predicted model, not a curated record. Lineage: Eukaryota; Metazoa; Chordata; Aves; Passeriformes; Estrildidae.